Molecule: ribosomal RNA, 485 nt
Filed under: uncultured Desulfobulbus sp.
Lineage: Bacteria; Pseudomonadati; Thermodesulfobacteriota; Desulfobulbia; Desulfobulbales; Desulfobulbaceae
Description: bacterial SSU rRNA
Rfam family: Bacterial small subunit ribosomal RNA
Source: RNAcentral
UCAAAGGAAUUGACGGGGCCCGCACAAGCGGUGGAGCAUGUGGUUAAUUCGAUGCAACGCGAAGAACCUUACCUGGUCUUGACAUCCCGGAGACCCUUAGGAAACUAGGGGGUGCUUCCAUCUGGAAGAAUCUGGAGACAGGUGCUGCAUGGCUGUCGUCAGCUCGUGUCGUGAGAUGUUGGGUUAAGUCCCGCAACGAGCGCAACCCUUGCCUUUAGUUGCCAGCAGUUCGGCUGGGCACUCUAAAGGGACUGCCGGUGUUAAACCGGAGGAAGGUGGGGAUGACGUCAAGUCCUCAUGGCCUUUAUGACCAGGGCUACACACGUACUACAAUGGCCGAUACAAAGGGCAGCGACACUGCGAGGUGAAGCCAAUCCCGUAAAAUCGGUCUCAGUCCGGAUUGGAGUCUGCAACUCGACUCCAUGAAGUUGGAAUCGCUAGUAAUCGCGGAUCAGCAUGCCACGGUGAAUACGUUCCCGGGCCUU